UCUAGAUUGUCUCCGAAUGCUGCAUAGUAGUGGGGGACCCACCUUUUUUGGGGUGAAUCUUGUUCUGGCAAGAGGGGCGACUUGGGCGUCCUAACCCGACAGCUAACCCCAUAGGAGUACACCAAGCGUGUGA
Molecule: small RNA, 133 nt
Filed under: Peptococcaceae bacterium
Lineage: Bacteria; Bacillati; Bacillota; Clostridia; Eubacteriales; Peptococcaceae
Description: c-di-AMP sequence
Rfam family: c-di-AMP riboswitch aptamer (ydaO/yuaA leader)
About the family: This family represents a conserved RNA structure found upstream of the ydaO and yuaA genes in Bacillus subtilis and related genes in other bacteria.
Source: RNAcentral